UCAACUGAAUCAUAACCUGCA
RNAcentral lists this non-coding RNA (21 nucleotides) under Caenorhabditis elegans. Lineage: Eukaryota; Metazoa; Nematoda; Chromadorea; Rhabditida; Rhabditidae. The record is from RNAcentral.